UGUGGGUCAGUAAAUUAUCAGGACAUUUUUAUUCUGGAAGUCAACUUAUCCUUUAAAGUUUAGUGAACAUUCAUAAACACACAACAUUUUCAGUUUGAUAUAAAGUUUUCAAUUUCAGCAUAUCAUCGUUUUAGCAUCAACACACUAAUUUCGUUGAUUCAUUAAUUGAUUAGUCAUUAACAUUAAAUGAUAUUAUUGUUUUUUGUGUUAUUUUCCCACUGUUGUUUAGUCUUAUGAAUGUAGGUUUAAAGGGCUGUUUGUAAUCAUGAAUAAGAGAUACAAGUGAAUGUUUAUGGAAACUCAAGGUUAAUGGGAUGUUGUUUGGUAUAACAGUACUUGUUGAAUUUGUCCUGUUUAGACGAAGUCUGAGCAUUGAAACUGUGCUCUUUUUUAAUCAUCAUCACUUUGUCUCCUGUUAAUACAGGUUUUGGGUAUUUUGGAUACCAGACAAGACUUGCUGUUAACAGGUUUUGGGUAUUAGGUAAUUUUGCUGAAAAGUCAUUCUGUUACCGGACAAAACGAAUACCUUCUGACUGGAUCUGGAUCUUAAUUAUCUGGCAUGCAGGCAUGGUAUAACAUUUCUGAAUGUUUUCAAAUGUUUUAAAUGCUUGUUUAUGCCAACAUUCCAUUUUAUCAUUUGGAAACAUUAUGGAACGUUGCUUUUGAAUGUUCUCGGAACGUUCUGAAACAAGUAACAUUCAAAAAAUGUUGGACGAACGUCCAACUAAAAUGUUUCAGAAAUAAAAAUCAUUCCAUGAAUGAUGUGUAUGAAUGAUAUUUGUGUGCUAACAUUUGGAUGAACUUUUAAUGAACUUUCUAUGAACCUUUCUGGAAGAAUGUAAAGCAAAGUUCUCUGAAUGUUCCUUGUUAGCUGGGAUACUUUAUACACGCCAAAACAUAUUAAAUCAAACAGGUUCAGUAUUAAUAUAUAUAAAAGAACAGAAUAUACAAACUUGCUCUUUGUAAAACACAUGCACAUUUAUGUUGCCAAGAAUCUGUGUUCAUUCCAGUAAGUAAACAUAGAUCUAAUACAUCCCACAUUACAUCAACAUCACUGUAAAAAACUGCUUAAAAAAACAAUAAAUGCAAGACUGCAAGACGGCUUACACAAACACACACAGAAAUCUGGGUUAGGCAUUCCUGCCAUAUGACUACAUUCAUUAAUGGUCUGACAAAACACACACACAGUGACUCUUGGUCAGAAUGAAAGUGAAUAUCACAUGCAAAUAAGUGAAUAUCAACAUAUUUUCUGCAGAGAUAUUGUGGUCAGUAUCAGUGCAAUGCUGACAAACAAUCAUGUCGAUUAUCUACAUACAUGAAGUGACAAUAACAGCAAAGAUAAAAGUGUUAUUUUGAAGUUCACAAUCCUAGAUAACGUAAAUAUGUUUUAAGAACAUUCUGAUAAAGUUCCUGUUAAGUUAUGAAAAUGUAAUUUGUUUAAAGGUUUAAAAUCUUUUUUUUUUUCGUGGUUAUCUGAACGUUAUAGAAAUCAUGAAUGAAAUAUUUCAUUCUAUCAUUUUGCAAACAUUAUGGGAAUGUUAUUUUGAAUGUUCUUUAAAGCUACCUAGGUAACUAAUUUAGGUUAUAAAAACAUUGUGGGAACAUUGUAAAAAAAAAAUUAUCUUGUUAUUAGAAUGCUAUUUAAAGGUUACAACGUUCUACGAACUCUAUUUUCCCCAAAAAAAUAUUCUUUGAUCCUUAAACGGUCUAGUUUUCUUGUCAUGAUUUGAACGUUAUUUAAAUGUAACAAAAACGUUUCUUAGAACAUUCAUCAUAUAGUUUGAGAGAACCUUGCCAGAAAUCUAUUCAUCUCCAACAUCCACGAUUUCAACAUAACGUUUACAUGCAUGUAGCGGAGAUUCAUAAUAAACUCAAAGUCAUAAUACAUUUAUAGGAUGUCCUAUAAUCUUUCUGUCAUUUUAGGUUUUCCCUUUUUUUGACGAAUACCAAAUUAUGAGUUUUACUGCAGUCAUAAUAAUGAUGUUAUUGAGACAGAAACCACACUGUUCUUAAAACAGAAACAUAAACUAUGGAUUUUUUUUGUUGAACUGACAGGACUUUAUAAAUCCACUGAGUAAAUAUGCUUAAUGUACAUCUUUGCUUUGGUUAUGUACUCUAUAUAUUCAUAAGAAUAUGACUUACAUGUAAUAUAUGAGGUUUUUUGCAUGUGAAAAGUCAAACAUAAUGAUGUAAAGUGUAAUUGAACAGAAAGUAUGUGUUAAAGGAAACAUAUACAUUAUUAUUUGUAUUUGAUCUUUUCUCUGAGGUUCACUCACAUUUAAUGUUUUGGACAAAUUUUACGUUUUAAUAGAACAUCAGCCUCUUUUACUUCAAAACACACUUGACUGGUCUUGAUAUGAGGCCUUCAAACAGCAAAAAAAGCAAUAAUAAUCAUGUUAAAGCAUAAGUGAAAUUAUUAGCCAGUGCUUGGCAUUCACAGUUGCAUUAUUGUUAUGGACUAUUUCAUUUUUACAGGGUAAGUUUGCCGAUUUCCAACCAACUUUGCACUGUAACAAUAUCAGUAGUAUAAGUAAAUGCACAAUGUAUAUUCUUUAUCAGUGAGACCUAUACAAGAAAUCCCCGUUUAAUUGUUAACAAAAGUCUGAAAACUACAGAUUAUACUUGUGUGCAUUUUUGUAUUCUCUAGUCUAGUUUUUUUUUUUUUUUUUAAGUGUUUUUUUAUUGCAUAGACGGCCAGCUUUUAUUAAAAGCCCAUCUUGUCAGCGGUGAUUUAAGUGGCAGGAAAUGUUUGUAGUGGGUUAACAAGUGAAAUGGGUCACCCGCAUAAGAACUGCACGACGUGUGUGAGCUUGUGCAUUUUGUUGUUUUGUUUGUUGCAUUUGCUAUCAUCGGUGAAAAGCCACUCAAAAGUAGCUAUAGAUCUAGAUCUUGCUCUGAAUUGACAGCUGUUAAAUGCUCCUGCUUGAUGUUGCAAUAAAUGUUC
Long non-coding RNA from Cyprinus carpio carpio, 2944 nucleotides. Lineage: Eukaryota; Metazoa; Chordata; Actinopteri; Cypriniformes; Cyprinidae. The record is from Ensembl.